ACGCUCGACACCUACGGGAAGCAGCAGUGGGGAAUAUUGCACAAUGGGGGAAACCCUGAUGCAGCGACGCCGCGUGAGUGAAGAAGUAUUUCGGUAUGUAAAGCUCUAUCAGCAGGGAAGAAGAUGACGGUACCUGAGUAAGAAGCCCCGGCUAACUACGUGCAGCAGCCGCGGUAAUCUGAGGCGGGCUGGACAAGGC
This 199-nucleotide ribosomal RNA is filed under the name uncultured bacterium. RNAcentral describes it as "partial 16S ribosomal RNA". It matches the Rfam family "Bacterial small subunit ribosomal RNA", at positions 326 to 538 of the family's 1533-position model. The record is from RNAcentral.